UUCUGGCUCAGGAUGAACGCUGGCGGCGUGCCUAAUACAUGCAAGUGAAACGGGUAUCUUCGGAUACCAGUCGCGGACGGGUGAGUAAUACAUAGGCAACCUGCCUUUAUGAGGGGGAUAACCGAGGGAAACUUUGGCUAAUACCGCAUGAAGACUCUAAGGCAUCUUAGAGGGAUAAAAGUUGGGAAACAACGCAUGAAGAUGGGCUUAUGGCGCAUUAGCUAGUUGGUGAGAUAGAAGCCCACCAAGGUAAUGAUGCGUAGCCGACCUGAGAGGGUGAACGGCCACAUUGGGACUGAGACACGGCCCAAACUCCUACGGGAGGCAGCAGUAGGGAAUUUUCGGCAAUGGGGGGAACCCUGACCGAGCAACGCCGCGUGAAGGAAGAAGGUUUUCGGAUUGUAAACUUCUGUUAUAAGGGAAGAACGGAUUGGAUAGGGAAUGAUCUGAUAGUGACGGUACCUUAUUAGAAAGCCACGGCUAACUACGUGCCAGCAGCUGC
This 502-nucleotide ribosomal RNA is filed under the name uncultured bacterium. RNAcentral describes it as "bacterial SSU rRNA". It matches the Rfam family "Bacterial small subunit ribosomal RNA", at positions 17 to 518 of the family's 1533-position model. The record is from RNAcentral.